Molecule: unclassified non-coding RNA, 1444 nt
Filed under: uncultured Neocallimastigales
Lineage: Eukaryota; Fungi; Neocallimastigomycota; Neocallimastigomycetes; Neocallimastigales
Description: partial contains small subunit ribosomal RNA, internal transcribed spacer 1, 5.8S ribosomal RNA, internal transcribed spacer 2, and large subunit ribosomal RNA
Rfam family: Eukaryotic large subunit ribosomal RNA (bases 680-1444)
Source: RNAcentral
UUUCCGUAGGUGAACCUGCGGAAGGAUCAUUAAAAAAUGGAACUCUUUCAAAGAGUUCAUUAAUAAUCCCUACCCUUUGUGAAUUUGUUUGUUUGAAAUAAUUUUUUUUAUUAAAAAUUAUUGAAUGUCUUUCCCUGUUUUUUUGGUGGAAAAAUGGUAAAACGUUUGGAAACCGAAAAACAGGGGAAUGGUAUUCAUAUAAUUUUUAUUAAAAGACCUUUUUUUUAAAUUAAACUUUUUGUAUUCAUUUGUCUAAAAAUUAUUUUUAUAAUAUAAAACAACUUUUGACAAUGGAUCUCUUGGUUCUCGCAACGAUGAAGAACGCAGCAAAGUGCGAUAAGUAGUGUGAAUUGCAGAAUACGUGAAUCAUCGAAUCUUCGAACGCAUAUUGCACUUUUUUAGUUUACUAAAAAGUAUGUCUGUUUGAGUAUCAGUAAAAUAUUCUCAUAAAAAAAUUUGUUUUUUUUUAUGGUUCUGAGUGUUUUACAACGAUAACAAGUUGUUUCACUUUAAAUUCUUUGUUAUCAAAAAAAAAUCAUUUAAAAACUAAUUUUAAAAGAUUUUUUUAAAAUUGGAUAAAAUUUUCCUGUAAAAAGGAAUAACCUUAAACAAUUUUAGAAAAAUUAAAAUUGGUUUGAUUUCUUUUUUGAAAUUAAAAAGGAAAAAAGUUAAAUUAACUUGAUCUCAAACCAGAUAAGAGUACCCGCUGAACUUAAGCAUAUCAAUAAGCGGAGGAAAAGAAACUAACUAGGAUUCCCUUAGUAACGGCGAGUGAAGCGGGAAGAGCUCAAAUUUGAAAUCUUCAAGGUUUUACCUUGACGAAUUGUAGUUUAAAGAAGUGUUUUCUGUUGGUGUUUUGGUAAAAGUUCUUUGGAAUAGGACAUCAUAGAGGGUGAGAAUCCCGUAUUUGACCAUUACUUCCAGCGUUGUGAUACACUUUCAAAGAGUCGGAUUGUUUGGGAAUGCAGUCCAAAAUGGGUGGUAAAUUUCAUCUAAAGCUAAAUAUUGGCGAGAGACCGAUAGCGAACAAGUACCGUGAGGGAAAGAUGAAAAGAACUUUGAAAAGAGAGUUAAACAGUACGUGAAAUUGUCAAAAGGGAAGCGUUUGACACCAGUGUUGUUUUCUCGAAAAUCAAUUAAAAUGGUUGAUUUUGUAUUGUAUGACCUUAUCAGCUUCUUACUUUUUUCCGAGUCUUUCUUAAUGCACUUUUCGGUUAACAAGUCAACAUCAAUUUCUUUUGUUGUAAAAGAGUCAUUGGAAGGUGGCUUUCCUUCGGAGAAAGUGUUUAUAGCCUUACUUCUGCAAUCGGAGAGAUUGAGGUCUGCAGCGUAGAUCCUUCGGGUUAGAUACUUUGUGCUAAGUUGUAGUUUUUAUAGACAACUUGUUGACUAUGUUAAUCAUGUAGCUUACUCGUUUGCUAUUUUACCUACGCUUAGGAUGUUG